UGUUUGUCACCAAUCCUGACUGACUAUAUAUUUACUCUUUUCUUAUACAUUUUUUCUUUUGGCUAGUAUGUGUCUCUCCCAAUGGAAAGUAAGCUCCAUGAAGAAGGGACUUUGUUUUUACAAUGUUCUUUUCUAUCAAUUAGGAAUCAACCCGGCACAUAGAAGAUGCUCAAAUUUGCUGCCACUUGGUGGGUCACGUGUGACGUGGGUUAGUCGGAAGAACUGAUGAAGUUGGUGAGCUGGUCUACAAAGCUGAGCAACAUGUGUUUUGAAAUGUUGUUGUGAAAGGCAGGGUGGUAUGACUCGUCACUGGAGCCACAGCAACUGGAACACAAUCAGUCUCAUGACAUCUGGCCUGUCAGGCUCUGUCACCAGAUCAUGUGUGAACAUUUAUUUAUGAUCAAGUCCCUCUCCUUUUUCCAUACCUUCUCCCACGCUGUACACCUUGAAAAUGUCUGAAAAAAGAAUACUAAUCUUUUCUUAAGAGCCUUU
Molecule: long non-coding RNA, 492 nt
Organism: Hipposideros armiger (great roundleaf bat)
Lineage: Eukaryota; Metazoa; Chordata; Mammalia; Chiroptera; Hipposideridae
Exons: 2
Source: RefSeq, a predicted model, not a curated record